UACGAAGGGGGCUAGCGUUGCUCGGAAUUACUGGGCGUAAAGCGCACGUAGGCGGCUUCUUAAGUCGGUGGUGAAAUCCUGGAGCUCAACUCCAGAACUGCCUUCGAUACUGGGAGCUCGAGUCCGGGAGAGGUGAGUGGAACUGCGAGUGUAGAGGUGAAAUUCGUAGAUAUUCGCAAGAACACCAGUGGCGAAGGCGGCUCACUGGCCCGGUACUGACGCUGAGGCACGAAAGCGUGGGGGAGCAAACAGGG
Molecule: ribosomal RNA, 254 nt
Filed under: uncultured bacterium
Lineage: Bacteria
Description: partial 16S ribosomal RNA
Rfam family: Bacterial small subunit ribosomal RNA
Source: RNAcentral